This 952-nucleotide long non-coding RNA is filed under the name Corvus moneduloides (New Caledonian crow). RNAcentral describes it as "lncRNA (ENSCMUG00000016884.1)". The record is from RNAcentral. Lineage: Eukaryota; Metazoa; Chordata; Aves; Passeriformes; Corvidae.
GAUUUAUAUGAUCAGCACUAAAGUACUAUGACAAAAAAAAAGCUUUGGAAAAGGUACCUUAACCGGACAUGUUCCAGAUCAAUAGGCAAAUGAGUAGCUACGUUUGAAAGAAGAUCUGUGACCUACCACAGGUAAUGGGGCAAAGGUAUAUCUGAAAUUCGUUUUUCAAUACUUCUUGGUGGCUGCCAAACAUAGAAUGCUAACAAACGCAUCUUUGCGAUACCAUCCACCCCGAGCAAUAAAAAACCCACCCUUAAUUUAACAGGAGUCACCAGUCAGCUCCUGAGGCAUAAACAGGCAGCUGAAGCACCGCGCGUAGGCUGACUUCAGUGCUGAAUGCCGAGCAGCAUUUGGCACAGGUGGAGCAGUUUUCAUCACAGACCCAAAUUAACUCCGGUGAAGUUGCUCCGCGCCUGCCAGCGCCGGAGGAACAAUCUCCGUGUGGGAGAAGCGCCCAGCGUGCCACCCGCCGGCCUCCGCUCCCGGCGCCGCUGGGCCGAACAAAGGCGGCAGCGGCGGGUCCCCUUUGUGCGGCGCGGGCCGGGGAAGGGGCGAGCCCAGCGCCACCCGGAGCUCCCCGCCCCGCCGGCCCGGCUGGGCAGCGCGUCGGGAGGAAGCGCCGGCUCUGCGCAGGGAGGGCGGCUGCCAGAAGCCCGGGCCCUCCCCCGCCCCUGUCUCCUCCCCUCCGCCGCCGAUCCUCCGCCCGCUCCGCCUUCUCCUCGCGGUGGCGGCGGUGGCUUUCUCGGCCCCGGCUCCUCGCUGUUCUCCGCGGCUUCGCCUCGCUCCUCUCCGGGGGCUCCCGCGCCGCGCUGGCCAAGACGGCUUUACUGCAGGGAGCCUCUGGGAGUUCCAGGGUGAAGAAAUCUGCCUUCAUCUGGAGACCUCUGCUGAAGGUGAAGACCUCGUAACAGGCCAGACAGCCUUGGCAGGAGUUCAGAAGUCUUACACCAAG